UACGUAGGGUGCAAGCGUUAUCCGGAAUUAUUGGGCGUAAAGAGCUCGUAGGCGGUUUGUCGCGUCUGCUGUGAGAACCCGAGGCUCAACCUCGGGCCUGCAGUGGGCACGGGCAGACUAGAGUGCGGUAGGGGAGAUUGGAAUUCCUGGUGUAGCGGUGGAAUGCGCAGAUAUCAGGAGGAACACCGAUGGCGAAGGCAGAUCUCUGGGCCGUAACUGACGCUGAGGAGCGAAAGCGUGGGGAGCGAACAGG
RNAcentral lists this ribosomal RNA (253 nucleotides) under uncultured bacterium. Its description in RNAcentral is "partial 16S ribosomal RNA". It matches the Rfam family "Bacterial small subunit ribosomal RNA", at positions 524 to 776 of the family's 1533-position model. The record is from RNAcentral.